UUAGUUUUGUAACUGAAGCAAGUACUAAUAUCUUGUUUAUCACUGUAUAACCAUCAAGUCAUAGCCUCGUAAUCUGUUUUUUUUUUUUUUUUAUUAUGGAAUAUUGUUUUGGUCACUUUUUUGUCAUCAAUAAAAUAGAUUCAAUCAAAAACCAAAUCAAGAACUGUGUCCAUGGGACCAUUGACUCCAGACACGGCGUGCAAAAUUGUUCAUCCUUUUAUUUUGAGUUUAACUGUUUAAGGUACAUGUGUGAUCACGAAAAUGCUGACUAUUUUCUUACAUCUUCUAAUCUCCUCUAGGUAUAUUGCAAAAACAUGUUAUUCAUCUGAUUUACAAAGAAUCUUCGCCAGUGUUUUUAUAUCAUUUAUAAAUUUAUUUUAAGAUAACUUAUAGUUAGCUUAGAUAAUAGCGUUACUAUUUUUGCGAAUCAUAAGUAUGGAAGUUCGACUCCACCAUUUAAUUAUCGAAUGAUAUAUGUUCUAAUUUCAAAAAAGAAGUAUCCCCGUCCAGUAAAACUUGAAGGCACGGUUAUAAUUCAUUUCUUUGUCUAUAUUUCAAUUCUUAUAUAAUUUUAAUGAUAUAUUUUGUAUUAUGUUUUAGCACUUUCGAUAUUAAUAUAUUGAUUUGCCAAAAUAAAUUGAAAAAGACCAAAAAGAAUAUACUCAUUGACAAUAAAAUGAUGAUUGAGAAAGAGAAACAAUAUAUUUGUUCUUUGGGUAUAAUAUUUCCAAAUAUUUUUGAUUUGAAAGAAGAUAGGCUAUAUAACAAACUGGGUUUACCAAUUUUGUCAAUAUAGAUAUCUUGAGGAGAGAAUACUUAUAGCAAAGGCAAAAGGGACUUUAUAUAUGAAAAGGAAGGGUACUAGUUUACCAUUUAUCUUUAAAUAACAACAUAAACUAUAUAGCAAAAAGUUCCUCCAACGGCUACUUAAUACAUAACACAUAUAAUUGAGAAAGUAGGUUGUAAAAGGGACAACCGACCAUGACUUUUUCACGUGUUGGAUUGGCGCUCCUGAAUAGAUCUAAGAACUCAAAACUUUUCAUCUGUUAUAAAUCUUGAACAUUAAUGUUCCUUCUAAGAAACCUUUUAUUGGCCAAGAAAAACCAUAAACUUUCAAUCAAAAUGUUCCAAAGGAGAAGGCCCAUUUUUCAGAGAGUCUCAAAUAUACUAAAAGUCUCAAUCUUGAGAAGACCAAUCAUCCCAAGACUCAAGCUUCCUAUAAAACAAAGAAGAUCAGCCAAGCGGGUCAAGCUCCUUCAACAAUACAACUACAAGUUUCUUCAAGAGUCUCAGUUCUCACCUCUACGCACAUCUGUUAUCUCAUACCGUAGGAAGCGAAACAGCAUAUCUAGGUUGGGUAUUAAACACAUUUUCAGUUUAUUGUUUCUUUCACGGUGCAUCGGUCGGUCUAGUGACGAGCAUAUUGUUGAUACAAUAACACACAAUUGGAUGGAGAUGGAGCCUCUUCAUUGUGUCCACGGAAUUUCUUCUUCAUCAAGGGAUAUUUGGCAAUCCUUCGAUUACUUAAGUGAAGAUGAUUCGAUUGACUUGAAGGCGGAGAGAUUCAUCAAAAAGUUCUACGAUGAGAUGAGGUUGCAAGAGCGGGAAUUUAGUUGUUAAGUGCUAUAGUUUUUUUUUACGUCAGUUUAGUGCUAUAGUGGCUUUUUUGAAUUUUUCAAUUGUUAUUUUUGUGCUAUUUUGAUUUUCCACGUCAUUUCUGUUAUCAAUUUUCUCCGCAUCAUAUUUGAGAUGGUGGCCAAUAUUUAUUUUGAAAUUUUUACAUUCUAAGACACUUUUUGUCUUUCAUAUUACACAAUCAGACACAAUAGUCAUGUGACACACUUUAUCUGUCUGCAAUGUCACAUAUACCCUCUAAACUAACCCAACCAGAGUUUGUCUUUAGCCAUGGGUGUCAUCAAUUUUUUUAAAAAAAAAAAUCAAAAGAGUAUCAACACUCCCUCUUUUCCCCAAAUCACAAAAACUAAUUGAUCUUCAAUUCCUUCCUCUCCGCCUCAUACUCCCCGUCUCGAAUCUUAAGCCGUCAACACUCCCUCUCUUCGCCUACGCCGUGAACCAUGAGGAAACCAAAGUCAAAGAAGAAGGUCUUAGUGGAGGACGAAGAAACGCCACCACAAUACGAAGUCGGAGAUCCAUCUUCACCGGACCUCCGUCUACCUCCUCGACUUUUCGCGACGGACCGGUUCCCCACCAGGCGUCAUAACAUCUAUUCCUCUCCAGAUCUACUCCCUUUUAUUCGCAACGUCCUUCGCGACACGCCGGAAUUUGAAACCAUCCGUAGGUCCUGUUUCGGGAAACUCUUCGACCUCCCUGCUCGUCAAUGCCCUGUGUCGUGUAAGCUGAUCCACGCGUUUCUCACUCGUCAGCUUGUUUGUCUUCCAAAGAACACGCUUUGGUCCGCAUUUGGUGGUUUUCCUUUCCGAUAUGGUCUUGAGGAAUUUGGCACUGUCACGGGCCUCCCUUGUGGUUCAUACCCUGAAAGAUACAAUCCCAAAACCGGUAAAGCUAUUGUCGCCGGCAAAGAUAGAGUAUGGAAGAGACUUUUUGGGAAGAAAAAAUUUGUGACGAUUGCUGAUCUUUGUCGGAUGCUUGAGACCGACAAAGAUAUGGAUGGGUGGAAAAAGAUACGGAUUGCUCUCAUUAUAAUCGUCGACGGAGUUCUCAUCGCUCACAGACAAGAAGCACGCCCCACUCCUCGUUAUGUUAGGAUGGUUGAAAACCUCAAAACAUUUCUUGCUUUCCCAUGGGGUAGAGAGUCUUUCCUCAAGACCAUCUCAUGCAUGAAACCGCCGAGUUUUGUCCCCAAGAAAUGUGAGGAUCCUGUUGCUACACUUGUCAAGACGCUCAAGCAGCGCAGUUUCAGAUUACAAGGCUUCCCACUUUCACUUCAGCUUGUAGCAUUUCGUGCCAUCCCCCUGCUUCUGGAUUAUAUACCGGCUCCAUUAAACAACCUCACCUUGAUGGACUUGGAAGAUGGUACUCUACCACAGCACAAGUCAAUCAAUGCCAUCCACAUCCGACGCGUCGAAUUUGACCCCAAUGUAAGUCUAAAACCUUUGUAUUAAACUAACUCCAAAAUGUAUUUUUUAAUCUAAUCAUUUUACAAAACUAAGAUGCUUUUAAAUUUUCUCAGCUGGUAGUCACUCCUAUUAUACCCAUCGAAAGUGAGCCACAAUCAGGAUGGGGUCUGUUUCCAGACGAUGCGAAGGACGACAAUGUUCUCUACUUGGAAAAACUUAUAGCUGGUCAACAUUCCUUCAACAAACAUAUGUGGCAUGGCGGGGUUACAUCUGAGCCUAUCAUCAAGAAGCCAAAGAUCCAUGUCAAGAAGAAGGCUGCUACUAUUAAGCAAUCUCUAAAAACAAGACAGCCGUCUGCAAAGAAGCAAAGGCGUAUAAGUUCCUACUUUACACGUUCAACCACCCAAAGCUUCACCAACGUUCAACUUACGGAGAUGGUGAUCCAACUUUCAACGCAAGUGAAGCAGCUCAAACGCGAGAUGAAACGUAGGAAGAAGCGAUCUCAUGCAAGGCUAUCAUCUUUCAACAAACUUUUAUCUCGUCGCAAGCAGUCCAACACACCACCCCACACUCCAGAACCAAGUCAUAAUCAGGUGAAUUGCAAAGAACACACUUUUUGCCACAUAAAUAGCUUUGUGUUUUCACCACUAACAAAGAAUUCAUUUUUGGCUGCAGGAUGAUGCCCCAAUGGAGACAGAUGACUUGCCUCAAACGACAUCCCCUAUAAUCAGUCAA
RNA transcript from Brassica napus (rape), 3773 nucleotides. RefSeq lists it as uncharacterized. The transcript has 2 exons. The record is from RefSeq and is a predicted model, not a curated record. Lineage: Eukaryota; Viridiplantae; Streptophyta; Magnoliopsida; Brassicales; Brassicaceae.